ACCAUCAAGAAGAGAGCAGCAUGCAGGUGAAAAAAGACGAGCUGCUGCAGUGUGUCUGGGGCUGCUGUGUCUUCUCCUCCUGGCUACAGUCAUCGGCCUGGUGGUACACUAUAACAAAUCAGAUUGCAACCUGUCCAGAGAGAGAGACGAGUUUCAGACCAGGUUCAACAACCUGACUGAAGAGA
This is a long non-coding RNA of Myripristis murdjan (pinecone soldierfish), 185 nucleotides long. RefSeq lists it as uncharacterized. The record is from RefSeq and is a predicted model, not a curated record. The transcript is spliced from 3 exons. NCBI's taxonomy places the organism in Eukaryota, Metazoa, Chordata, Actinopteri, Holocentriformes, Holocentridae.